GACAGAGGGUGCAACCGUUGUUCGGAAUUACUGGGCGUAAAGCGUGUGUAGGCGGCUAUGCAAGUCGGGCGUGAAAUCCCGCGGCUCAACCGUGGAAGUGCACUCGAAACUGCGUAGCUAGAGUCCUGGAGAGGAAGGCGGAAUACUUGGUGUAGAGGUGAAAUUCGUAGAUAUCAAGUGGAACACCGGUGGCGAAGGCGGCCUUCUGGACAGUGACUGACGCUGAGACGCGAAAGCGUGGGGAGCAAACAGG
RNAcentral lists this ribosomal RNA (253 nucleotides) under uncultured bacterium. RNAcentral's name for it is "partial 16S ribosomal RNA". It matches the Rfam family "Bacterial small subunit ribosomal RNA", at positions 524 to 776 of the family's 1533-position model. The record is from RNAcentral.